This 496-nucleotide ribosomal RNA is filed under the name uncultured bacterium. RNAcentral's name for it is "partial 16S ribosomal RNA". It matches the Rfam family "Bacterial small subunit ribosomal RNA", at positions 28 to 507 of the family's 1533-position model. The record is from RNAcentral.
GAUGAACGCUGGCGGCGUGCCUAAUACAUGCAAGUCGAGCGAACAGACGAGGAGCUUGCUCCUCUGACGUUAGCGGCGGACGGGUGAGUAACACGUGGAUAACCUACCUAUAAGACUGGGAUAACUUCGGGAAACCGGAGCUAAUACCGGAUAAUAUAUUGAACCGCAUGGUUCAAUAGUGAAAGACGGUUUUGCUGUCACUUAUAGAUGGAUCCGCGCCGCAUUAGCUAGUUGGUAAGGUAACGGCUUACCAAGGCAACGAUGCGUAGCCGACUGAGAGGGUGAUCGGCCACACUGGAACUGAGACACGGUCCAGACUCCUACGGGAGGCAGCAGUAGGGAAUCUUCCGCAAUGGGCGAAAGCCCGACGGAGCAACGCCGCGUGAGUGAUGAAGGUCUUCGGAUCGUAAAACUCUGUUAUUAGGGAAGAACAAAUGUGUAAGUAACUAUGCACGUCUUGACGGUACCUAAUCAGAAAGCCACGGCUAACUACGUG